CAGUCGCCGCGGGAAUACGUAGGUGGCAAGCGUUGUCCGGAAUUAUUGGGCGUAAAGGGCUCGCAGGCGGUGUCUUAAGUCUGAUGUGAAAGCCCCCGGCUCAACCGGGGAAGGUCAUUGGAAACUGGGAAACUUGAGUGCAGAAGAGGAGAGUGGAAUUCCACGUGUAGCGGUGAAAUGCGUAGAGAUGUGGAGGAACACCAGUGGCGAAAGCGACGACCUGGACCCUUUCUGACGCUGAGACGCGAAAGCCAGGGGAGCGAACGGGAUUAGAUACCCCUGUAGUCCCUGUCUCUUAUAC
RNAcentral lists this ribosomal RNA (301 nucleotides) under uncultured bacterium. RNAcentral describes it as "partial 16S ribosomal RNA". It matches the Rfam family "Bacterial small subunit ribosomal RNA", at positions 509 to 807 of the family's 1533-position model. The record is from RNAcentral.